CUCCUACGGGUGGCAGCAGCCGAGAAUAUUGGACAAUGGGCGAAAGCCUGAUCCAGCGACAUUGCGUGGAGGACGAAGACGUUCGCGCCGUAAACUCCUUUUCUGGAGGAAGAAGUUAUUGACGGUACUCCAGGAAUAAGCGGGGGCUAAUUCUGUGCCAGCAGCAGCGGUAAUACAGAACCCGCGAGCGUUAUCCGGAUUUAUUGGGCGUAAAGUGUUCGUAGGCGGUUUGGAAAGUCUGAUAUUAAAUACCCGGGCUCAACCCGGGACGUGUAUUGGAUACUUCCAGACUAGAAGAUGUUAGGGGCUAUCGGAACGCACGGUGUAGGGGUGAAAUCCGUUGAUAUCGUGCGGAACACCAAAAGCGAAGGCAGAUAGCUGGGGCAUUCUUGACGCUGAGGAACGAAAGCGUGGGUAGCGAAAAGGAUUAGAUACCCUUGUAGUCCACGCCGUAAACGAUGCACACUAGACGUUGGGGCCUCUGACGGAACCGGCGUCGUAGCAAAAGUGCUAAGUGUGCCGCCUGGGGAGUACGGCCGCAAGGCUAAAACUCAAAGGAAUUGACGGGGGCUCACACAAGCGGUGGAG
This 588-nucleotide ribosomal RNA is filed under the name uncultured bacterium. RNAcentral describes it as "bacterial SSU rRNA". It matches the Rfam family "Bacterial small subunit ribosomal RNA", at positions 336 to 937 of the family's 1533-position model. The record is from RNAcentral.